CCUACGGGAGGCAGCAGUGGGGAAUAUUGCUCAAUGGGGGAAACCCUGAUGCAGCAACGCCGCGUGAGUGAAGAAGUAUUUCGGUUUGUAAACUCCUUUUGGCAGGGAAGAAAAUGACGGUAUCUGACUAAGAAGCACCGGCUAACUCCGUGCCAGCAGCCGCGGUAAUACGGAGGGGGCAAGCGUUAUCCGGAUUUACUGGGCGUAAAGGGAGCGUAGGCGGGAGAGCAAGUCUGAAGUGAAAUCCCAUGGCUUAACCAUGGAACUGCAUUUGAAACUGUUCGGCUGGAGUGUAGGAGAGGUAAGCGGAAUUCCUGGUGUAGCGGUAAAAUGCGUAGAGAGUAAGAGGAACACUAGUUGCGAAGGCGACCUACUAGACCGUAACUGACGUUGAGGCGCGAAAGCGUGGGGAGCAAACAGGAUUAGAUACCCUAGUAGUC
This 440-nucleotide ribosomal RNA is filed under the name uncultured bacterium. RNAcentral describes it as "partial 16S ribosomal RNA". It matches the Rfam family "Bacterial small subunit ribosomal RNA", at positions 338 to 795 of the family's 1533-position model. The record is from RNAcentral.